CCUGCCGGCCGCUCGCACGCUCGCUGUCUCUCCACACUCCCGUAUUCAUUUUUCUCCUUUUCUCUCUUACCCGCCUGCUGUGUUCCCUUCCUCCGCUUUCCUUCCUUCUGCCUGCUCUGCUCUACUCCCGUCCCGCUCGGCUUUGGCCUUUGCAUCCGGGCCGCCAGCAAGCUCUCCGCUCCUUGCUUCCCUUUCUCUCCCUUUCCUUCCCCUCUCCCCUCCCGCCGUCUGGGCCUUCUUACCCCGUCUGCCUUGGCUGCUCGAGGGCCGCUCUUCCGCCAGGCCUUCCAUUUCCGACUCUGUCCCAUGGUCUCUCUCCCUCCUUCUCCUUCCCCCAGCCUCGCUCUCCCCGCCACGGUCUCCUUUCCUCACCCCUCUCUGCCUGCUUCGCUCGGGACCGCCCCCCACCCCAGCGUGUCUCUCGCUUCCUUUUCCCCUCUCCUCAUUCGUUUUUUCCCCCUACACUUUCUCUUCAUCUUUCCUCUUUGCUCCCCUCUCUUGCUCAUCUCCAUCCCUUCUCUCCCCCCCACUUUUCUCUCUCCCCACCCUUACAAUCUCUCUCGCUCUUUCCUUUCUCUCCUUUUUGAAUCUGUCACCUCUUCUCUCCUGCCACACUUCUCCCCUCCACUGGCCGCCUUUCCUCUGCACCUUGUCUCCCAGUGUCAGGGAGGCCCCUCCAGGCUCUGCCAGCCACAUCCUCUCCCUUUGCCUCCCCUCCUUCCCUCUCCCUUCCUGAAGUUCGGAGCUGACAUCCUCCCAGGGAUCUGCGCAGCCUGGAACAGGGCUGCCAAGCCAGGCCUUCCCAUCCCCACCCCACCCCCGAGGGUGGAAGGGCCUCUGUGACACCCAUUUUCUCUCUUUUCUGUCUGUCCCGGAUGCUGCCCACUGCCUGGAGGAAGGACGCCUGCCCCCGGCCUAGGAAGGAGGAACCGAGGAGUUGGCUCAGAGAUAAAGACACUUGCAUGAAGCAUGGAGCAUGGGAGGACUUCAUUUUGCAGUUGGGAACACAGGAACCCGUGUUCCUGAAGACCAGCACCUGCUAAGACAGAGGCUUCAUGGAACCCCAACCUUCUCAAGGGCCAAGAGCACCCCCUGAAAAGCUCUUUUCUUCAGAGAGAGGGUCCACAUGGGCCUGACCUCCCCAGAGUAUCCAGCCGAGCAUGCUAUGGGCCUGAGGGGCAUUCUCAAGCAGGGUGAACUCUUUUAUCGCCACCUACUGAUAGAGGACAGAACUGUUACCAAGCUGUAUUAGAUACCAGAAAUGGUCUCAAGCAAAACUCUGCAAAAAUGACAAUUUUUACUCCUGGUCAAUAUGGUACGGUACCCAGCAAGCUUCAUAGCGUGCCAACGUACACCUCCAGACUGACUUCGUGUUUUCAAGUCAUCCUACGGCUGGCUUCUCCUCUGCACUGCCACAGAAAUACAUACAUGACCACUGUGGGAAACUAAGGAAGGUGGGAUUUGCUUUACAGUUUGCUUGGGAGCCUAUUUCUAGAAAUCAGGCCAAAUCGAGUUUUUCUUUGUAAUGACACCAUUAUGCCUUGCUGACUGGGAGGUGGGUGCAGGCAAAGAUGAAUGACUGACAGCUAAAGAGGCCUCAGGGACAGGUCCCCGAUUCUCACCAUGGCAUCUCUCUGAUGGGUUAAAUAAAGGCGCCUAUUGAACUCCUUCCAAAAGCCA
Mustela lutreola (European mink) is the source of this 1680-nucleotide long non-coding RNA. RefSeq lists it as uncharacterized. The transcript has 2 exons. Lineage: Eukaryota; Metazoa; Chordata; Mammalia; Carnivora; Mustelidae. The record is from RefSeq and is a predicted model, not a curated record.